UAGCUGUUCAAGUUGUCAGGAUUCAUUUCAACCCCACUGAAAUGUCAUCAACUUUUCAUUUUCCAACAAUAUACAGCACUGGACUAUAAGAUAUUUUGGCAGCAACUCCAUCAAAACGUAAACACAAAGACUGGUGAGUCAGCCACGUUUGGCUUCUCCAGCUUGCUUCCAGAAGAAUUCGAAUCUCCAUACACCUCCAAGUGAACUCUUCAAGGCGGGCCUCACUGAAAAGGAGGUAUAACAAAGACUUAGGACAUAUGGUUUAUCUUUUCAG
Molecule: long non-coding RNA, 274 nt
Filed under: Capra hircus (goat)
Lineage: Eukaryota; Metazoa; Chordata; Mammalia; Artiodactyla; Bovidae
Description: lncRNA (ENSCHIG00000000899.1)
Source: RNAcentral